Molecule: ribosomal RNA, 496 nt
Filed under: uncultured bacterium
Lineage: Bacteria
Description: partial 16S ribosomal RNA
Rfam family: Bacterial small subunit ribosomal RNA
Source: RNAcentral
GACGAACGCUGGCGGCGUGCCUAAUACAUGCAAGUAGAACGCUGAAGAGAGGAGCUUGCUCUUCUUGGAUGAGUUGCGAACGGGUGAGUAACGCGUAGGUAACCUGCCUUGUAGCGGGGGAUAACUAUUGGAAACGAUAGCUAAUACCGCAUAACAAUGGAUGACACAUGUCAUUUAUUUGAAAGGGGCAAUUGCUCCACUACAAGAUGGACCUGCGUUGUAUUAGCUAGUAGGUGAGGUAACGGCUCACCUAGGCGACGAUACAUAGCCGACUGAGAGGGUGAUCGGCCACACUGGGACUGAGACACGGCCCAGACUCCUACGGGAGGCAGCAGUAGGGAAUCUUCGGCAAUGGGGGCAACCCUGACCGAGCAACGCCGCGUGAGUGAAGAAGGUUUUCGGAUCGUAAAGCUCUGUUGUAAGUCAAGAACGAGUGUGAGAGUGGAAAGUUCACACUGUGACGGUAGCUUACCAGAAAGGGACGGCUAACUACGUG